GAUGAACGCUGGCGGCGUGCCUAAUACAUGCAAGUCGAGCGAAGCGGGGACGGGUGAGUAACACGUGGAUAACCUACUAUAAGACUGGGAUAACUUCGGGAAACCGGAGCUAAACCGAAUACUUCUAGAAGGAUCAGAGCUGCAUUCGCGGGUUUGUAAGGUAACGGCUUACCAAGGCACCGAUGCAUAGCCGACCUGAGAGGGUGAUCGGCCAAACGGGAACUGAUACACGGUCCAGACUCCUACGGGAGGCAGCAGUAGGGAAUCUGCCGCAAUGGGCGAAAGCCUGACGGAGCAACGCCGCGUGAGUGAUGAAGGUCUUCGGAUCGUAAAACUCUGGUAUUAGGGAAGCGGUACCUAAUCAGAAAGCCACGGCUAACUACGGGCCAGCAGCCGCGGUAAUAC
Molecule: ribosomal RNA, 405 nt
Filed under: uncultured bacterium
Lineage: Bacteria
Description: partial 16S ribosomal RNA
Rfam family: Bacterial small subunit ribosomal RNA
Source: RNAcentral